This 459-nucleotide ribosomal RNA is filed under the name uncultured bacterium. RNAcentral's name for it is "partial 16S ribosomal RNA". It matches the Rfam family "Bacterial small subunit ribosomal RNA", at positions 338 to 795 of the family's 1533-position model. The record is from RNAcentral.
CCUACGGGUGGCAGCAGUGAGGAAUAUUGGUCAAUGGCCGGUAGGCUGAACCAGCCAUGCCGCGUGAAGGUUAGUUCCCUAUUGGUUGUAAACUUCUUUUAUAUUGGAAUAAAAUGUUCCUCGUGUGGGUUCUUGUAUUUUCCAUAUUAAUUAGGAUCGGCUAACUCCGUUCCAGCAGCCGCGGUAAUUCGGAGGAUCCGAGCGUUAUCCGGAUUUAUUGGGUUUAAAGGGAGCGUAGGUGGAGUGUUAAGUCAGUUGUGAAAGUUUGCGGCGCAACCGUAAAAUUGCAGUUGAUACUGGCAGUCUUGAGUACAGUAGAGGUGGGCGGAAUUCGUGGUGUAGCGGUGAAAUGCUUAGAUAGCACGAAGAACUCCGAUUGCGAAGGCAGCUCACUGGACUGCAACUGACACUGAGGCUCGAAAGUGUGGGUAUCAAACAGGAUUAGAUACCCGGGUAGUC